UCAGAAGGUGAAAGCCCUGUACCGGUAAACUGAUGAGCCUUCAAGUAGACUCAGUCUCGUGAAACCUGGGUCGAAGACGGGGGGACCACCCUCCAAGGCUAAGUACUCCUGGACGACCGAUAGCGAAUCAGUAAGGCGACUGAAAGAUGACAAGCACCCCGACGAGGGGAGUGAAAGAGUACCUGAAACCGUGCGCUUACAAGCGGUCGGAGCUCGCAAGAGUGACGGCGUGCUUUUUGCAUAAUGAGCCGGCGAGUUAGUCUGUACGGCGAGCCUAAGGCCUAGCGGGCCGGAGGCGGAGCGAAAGCGAGUCUGAAUAGGGCGUUGAGUCGUACGGGCUAGACGCGAAACCUUGUGAUCAACCCUCGAGCAGGCUGAAGUGCGGGUAAAACCGCAUGGAGGGCCGAACGGGUGACCGUUGAAAAGGUCUCCGAUGACUUGAGGGGAGGAUUAAAAGUAUAAUCAAACUGGGAGAUAGCUCGUUCUCUCCGCAAUAACUUUAGGGUUAGCCUCGGGUGGCAAGCGAUGGGGGUAGAGCUACUGGAUGAGGCGUCGGGCCUAACCGGCUACGACCCUCAACCAAACUCCGAAUACCAUUGCCCAAGACCCGGGAGAUAGACGGUGAGUGACAAUAUCCAUCGUCAAAAGGAGAACAAUCCAGACCACCAGCUAAGGUCCCGAAUCUACGCUUAGUUCGAAAGGAAGUCAGAUUGCAGUGACAGCCGGGAUGUUGGCUUAGAAGCAGCCACCAUUUAAAGAGUGCGUAACAGCUCACCGGUCGAGGAGUCUGGCGCCGAUAAUGAUCGGGAAUAAGCGUGGAGCCGAAGCUGUGGGCCCAGCAGCAAUGCUGGGCGGUAGGAGAGCGUAGUUGAUGCUGUGAAGCGGCUCGGGAACGGGUCGUGGAGCGUCCACUAGUGCAUAUGCCGGCUUAAGUAACGAUUAACACGGUGAAAAUCCGUGUCGCCGAAUGCCUAAGGUUUCCUGGGGAAGGUAAAUCCGCCCAGGGUUAGCCGGGUCCUAAGGUGAGGCCGAAAGGCGUAGCCGAUGGAAAUCAGGUCAAUAUUCCUGAGCCAAUGCCCAAUAUGGUGACGGAUCUCCAAGAUCUGCGGGACUGCUAGAUGUCCAGGCCCUCGAGGCCGAUGCAGGUGGAGGAGGUCACGAGAAAAACCGGGCUUGCCCGUACUAAAACUGACACAGGUAGGCGAGGCGAAUAGCCUCAGGCGCUCGAGAGAACGGUCGUGAAGGAACUAGGCAAUUUAACCCCGUACGUUCGCAAGAAGGGGGCCCUCGUCGUCAGACAGGGCGCAGAGAAAAGGGUCUGGGAACUGUUUAUCAAAAACACAGCUCUGUGCUAACUCGGAAGAGGAUGUAUACAGAGUGACGCUUGCUCAAUGCCGGAAUGUCACGGAAGCGGGUCAUCGCAAGAGAAGCCCGCGACUCAAGCACCGGUGAAUAGCGGCCGUAACUAUGACGGUCCUAAGGUAGCGAAGUUCCUUGUCGGGUAAGUUCC
Molecule: ribosomal RNA, 1510 nt
Filed under: activated sludge metagenome
Description: bacterial LSU rRNA
Rfam family: Bacterial large subunit ribosomal RNA
Source: RNAcentral